GAUGAACGCUGGCGGCGUGCCUAAUACAUGCAAGUCGAGCGAACAGACGAGGAGCUUGCUCCUCUGACGUUAGCGGCGGACGGGUGAGUAACACGUGGAUAACCUACCUAUAAGACUGGGAUAACUUCGGGAAACCGGAGCUAAUACCGGAUAAUAUAUUGAACCGCAUGGUUCAAUAGUGAAAGACGGUUUUGCUGUCACUUAUAGAUGGAUCCGCGCCGCAUUAGCUAGUUGGUAAGGUAACGGCUUACCAAGGCGACGAUGCGUAGCCGACCUGAGAGGGUGAUCGGCCACACUGGAACUGAGACACGGUCCAGACUCCUACGGGAGGCAGCAGUAGGGAAUCUUCCGCAAUGGGCGAAAGCCUGACGGAGCAACGCCGCGUGAGUGACGAAGGUCUUCGGAUCGUAAAACUCUGUUAUUAGGGAAGAACAAAUGUGUAAGUAACUAUGCACGUCUUGACGGUACCUAAUCAGUAAGCCACGGCUAACUACGUG
Molecule: ribosomal RNA, 497 nt
Filed under: uncultured bacterium
Lineage: Bacteria
Description: partial 16S ribosomal RNA
Rfam family: Bacterial small subunit ribosomal RNA
Source: RNAcentral